AGUGACGAUAGCCUAGGAGAUACACCUGUUCCCAUGCCGAACACAGUAGUUAAGCCCUAGAACGCCUGAUGUAGUUGGGGGUUGCCCCCUGUUAGAUACGGUAGUCGCUU
Molecule: ribosomal RNA, 110 nt
Filed under: uncultured Streptococcus sp.
Lineage: Bacteria; Bacillati; Bacillota; Bacilli; Lactobacillales; Streptococcaceae
Source: RNAcentral